This 567-nucleotide ribosomal RNA is filed under the name uncultured bacterium. RNAcentral describes it as "bacterial SSU rRNA". It matches the Rfam family "Bacterial small subunit ribosomal RNA", at positions 338 to 916 of the family's 1533-position model. The record is from RNAcentral.
CCUACGGGAGGCAGCAGUGGGGAAUAUUGCACAAUGGGCGAAAGCCUGAUGCAGCGACGCCGCGUGAGGGAUGACGGCCUUCGGGUUGUAAACCUCUUUCAGCAGGGAAGAAGCGAAAGUGACGGUACCUGCAGAAGAAGCGCCGGCUAACUACGUGCCAGCAGCCGCGGUAAUACGUAGGGCGCAAGCGUUGUCCGGAAUUAUUGGGCGUAAAGAGCUCGUAGGCGGCUUGUCACGUCGGUUGUGAAAGCCCGGGGCUUAACCCCGGGUCUGCAGUCGAUACGGGCAGGCUAGAGUGUGGUAGGGGAGAUCGGAAUUCCUGGUGUAGCGGUGAAAUGCGCAGAUAUCAGGAGGAACACCGGUGGCGAAGGCGGAUCUCUGGGCCAUUACUGACGCUGAGGAGCGAAAGCGUGGGGAGCGAACAGGAUUAGAUACCCUGGUAGUCCACGCCGUAAACGGUGGGAACUAGGUGUUGGCGACAUUCCACGUCGUCGGUGCCGCAGCUAACGCAUUAAGUUCCCCGCCUGGGGAGUACGGCCGCAAGGCUAAAACUUAAGGAAUUGACGG